RNAcentral lists this long non-coding RNA (1197 nucleotides) under Piliocolobus tephrosceles (Ugandan red Colobus). RNAcentral's name for it is "lncRNA (ENSPTEG00000015707.1)". The record is from RNAcentral. Lineage: Eukaryota; Metazoa; Chordata; Mammalia; Primates; Cercopithecidae.
GUAGAUUUUGUAAAAGGAAAAUAAAUCUUGGGAACCCCAAAUCACUAAGCCAUAGGGAAAAGUCAACCUGGGAACUGUUUCAGGCAAAUCUGACCUAAAAAAAAAAAAAAACCCCUUUUAAAGAAAAUUAUUCCUUAAUAAGAUAGCCACAAAGGCUUUUUUUUACAAAGCUACAUACCUCCCUGAAAAUUUGCCCUCUAAAACUUUAUUUGUGGACCCCAAGAUCUUUACCCUAAAAUGGUUCUGUUUUAAAUGAUUGUGUUUUACCCUAAAAAUGUAAAUUGAUAGCUGAUUUUCACAGGUGCAGGACAAAAGACAGAACUCUAAGUCAUCCCUGCUUGCACGAGACAACUGCAUAUCUGAUUGUUUCCCCGAUUUCAAAAUGCAGACUCACUGGGCUAGAGGAAGACGGAAGUGACUAUUCCUCUGCCCUGUCUCUCACAUGUAAAUUGUAUAUUCUGAUAAAGGCUGAUCAAAAACUCAAAAGAGUGAAACUGUUUGUCUCUUAUGUAUGGAUACCUUUUAAAAAUUUCUUCCUCUUUCUCCAAUGUCUGUUCUUUCCUCAAAAUCAUCUUUGGAGAAGGCAGAGAGCUGAAUCUGGGGCACAAGUGUUUAACCAUGGCAAACUAAACCGUCCAAAUUCAUUGAAACCUGUCUCAGGUAGUUUUUGGCUCAAAGACUCAAUGUUUGGCCAAUGCAGAUGUUCAGUCUCCAGUCCACAGUCUUCAGGUUCCAUCUACCCACAGGGUGACCCAGCCACUUCCCGGGCUUCUCUCACCAGCUCUCCUGUCCUCCAUGCUGGUCUUUUCCUUCCUGUUCCAUUUCCACCAGACCUCCCGUCUUUUCUCCCCUCCCAGCUCCCCUUGUUGUAUGACCUACCUCUCUUUUGCAGAGGAGACGUUGCUUUCAAGGAAGAAUUCCCUUGUCUUGUCACCAGCCGAACCACACCCUUACCUGCACCAGCUCCUCACUCCUUCCUGUGCCCUGAGACCAUGGAAAAGCCUCCCUGGCCUGCCUGGGGGGAUUCUGUUCAGUCUCUUGAUCCUGUGCACACUUGUCUCUGUCCUAGAUAAAAUGUUCUCACCUCUACUGGCUUCUUGCAAACACCAUUUUCAUGUGUUUAACCCUCUCCAUGUUAGAAAAACCAGUAAACAAUAGAAAAACAACCCUAUUUGCAUUUGAAGUUCCUCACAGUCU